Populus trichocarpa (black cottonwood) is the source of this 2366-nucleotide RNA transcript. RefSeq lists it as uncharacterized. The transcript has 6 exons. Lineage: Eukaryota; Viridiplantae; Streptophyta; Magnoliopsida; Malpighiales; Salicaceae. The record is from RefSeq and is a predicted model, not a curated record.
CUCAAAUAUUAGCAGCCCACACAUGAGGGAGUUUUAGGAAAAUUCUCAAAUAUUAGCAACCCAAUUUAAAACCAAGAACUAAAACAAGUUGACGAACAAAAGGACGGGUGUGUUUGGAAUUAUAAGUAGUCGAGAUGGUUUAAUGUGUUUAUUUAUUUAGAAAUAUAUUAAAAUAUUUUUUUUUUUUUUAAAAAAAUUAUUUUUUAUAUUAACUAUGAAAAUAUAAUUUUUUUUUAAUUUUAAAUAAAAAAAUUUCAAAAUUUACGGUGGAAACACACCGGAAGACGAAGAAGAGUUGCAUCAGCUGCUUUUACCUGACAUUUGUGAUCUUUCUAUCACUCCUCCAUCUUCUGUUCAAACCAAUUUCGUCUCCUACUUCGUUCCAGGUUUCUGCUUUCUUUUUCUUUUUCUUUUUGCUUGAUUGAUGAUGCUUAACAAAGCAAAUACUGUUCUUAAUUUGUUGAAUUUUGGAUCAGAUUUUGUGAAGCUAGGACACGACCAGUACGUUUAUAGACAUGCCAUUGGGUUGUGUGUUUGGCUCCGACCCAUGUGGCUUUUACGGACGCAGGAGGAAUCACGGCUGUUGAUUUCAAUGUUGGAAAGUCUGAUCGUAGUGGCAUUAAGGUCACUGGAAAGCGAAAAAAAGCCCAUUCUUUGUUGGUUUUAGCCUUUUUUAUUGUAUAACAAUUAAGCAAUUUUCCUUAGAAUUGAGCAGGUGGUGUGAAGAAAUUGGCAAUAGCUAGACAAUUAAAAGUUCUAUGAUUAGUAGCUUGGUUGGUUUCUUAUAAGCUAGCUUUUGAGUUGGUGGGGAUAAUUGAAUUUACAUUACUAACAUGGUUGCAAGCAUCAAGCUUUGUAUGUUAGGGCUUUCAGGACAUUUUAGUUGCUUAGUGAUCAAGGGUGGAAGUUCACCAUCUAAUUUGGCUUUAUCUGAGUCAUAUACUGGAACAAUCAGAGGAUCAGUUUGAAAAAUCAGUUGGAUUCCACUUCUUUUAGUGGCAUUGUUUCUUUUUGUGCACAUUGGUUUUGUGGCUUUCAUAUCAUCGGAAGCACAAUUGGCCAGUUUAACAUAACUGGACUAUGAAAUCUGAGCUGAUUGCAUUGAGAGGUAACUUUGACUGCUUCGGAGGGCAAGGAUUUCUACAGAUUAGUCAGAUUUCUGUUUUGUAAUGAUGCAUUUAGGAUCAGGAGUUGAUUUGUUUUCUUAUGUUCUCAUUUAGCCAACUUUUACUAACAAUAGAGAGCAUCUUUUGCAGAAUGCACAACACUUUGAGUCUGACACUGCUCCGUGUAAAGUUUGCACCCAGAGCGAUUCUUAUAUUGUCAGAUGUUGUGUUAAAGGCUCUCUGUUGGAAGUGAAUGACAGACUAAUCAAACAUUCAAAAUUUGCUGAACUCUUCAACAGGGAAGGGUACAUUGCCAUUAUCAUGCCCAAGCCAGCAGAUUGGCUGAAGGUCAAAGCUUCAUUGUUGGGCCUUGAAGAAUACAAGAAACUGAGAGAAAAUAGCUGAGCUAUUUGGGAUGCUUGGAAAAGUUUUAUAGACUUCGAGAAUAACAAGGAAUUCAAGCUUCAUUUGGAAUUCCUCCAGCCACCAAUUCUUUGAUGGGCCUCACCCCCAGGUAAGCUCAGCGUAGGGAGAAGCAAUUUCUAUCUGGAGCCUGUAUUGUAACACCAAAGAUCACCUCCUACCACUAUCUCUCCAAAUAUUUUCAUCAUCCUUGUAGAUGUGUUGCUCGAGUUCUUCUAGCUGCUCCAGAUAGCACAAGUCGUGAGUGUGAAAUUCUUUCACGACCUCUUUCAACAGUUCAGGUUUUUUAUUCCUUACACACAUAUCAGCAAGAGCUUUACGGCGUUCUACCUCAUCGAAUAACCUCCUCACGAGUCUACUCAUGGUAUCAAAAUCUUUGAUCAAUAUGUAAGUUCCUUUGGCUGCAAGAUCUAGUUGUGCACCAAGUCUUUUUUCAAGCAAGCUUGUCUCAAGCCCCCGAUGAACCAACUUGAUUUGCUUUCUGAAUACAUACAACGAGCAACCCAUUAUUCCUGGUGCAGCCACAAUGCCAACUAUGCCAUGGGUUGCAAUUACAAGCAAGGCAAUUAGAAGUGCAGUAUGUGAUAUGACAAGACACCCUCCUGCAACCUUCAUGCAUAUCCUUCUGAACUUUGCUUUCCUCAUAAUCUUUCUCUGUUCUGAAUUCAAUCCGUGGAGCAACACCAAGUUGUUAUCAUGAAAAUCAUUGAAUUUUACAGUGGUAGAAAACAUCGAUAAUGGAUUUUCAAGCAAUGCAUACGCAGCAAGCUCUCUAAACAUUGCGAUGCAAAUCUUAUCUGAAUAAUCUGCAGAAUCUUGCACCCUUUUGCUUAACUU